RNAcentral lists this long non-coding RNA (1003 nucleotides) under Sus scrofa (pig). RNAcentral describes it as "lncRNA (ENSSSCG00050026836.1)". Lineage: Eukaryota; Metazoa; Chordata; Mammalia; Artiodactyla; Suidae. The record is from RNAcentral.
AAACCUCAAGCAAAACUGGAGAAUCAGGCUUGGAGAUGAUCAACCACGAACAAUGCCCCAAGUUAUGCCAUGGAGCUGGUUUGGUAAAGACCCUGCCAUUCCCACCACAGAGCACAGACAAGUCAGUAUGUGCAGCUGCCACUGCCGACCUGGGAAACAGAUCACAGCUGUCUCCCAGGCAACCCUCUGCACUGCUUGAGGACCUCGUGGAAACUGCUUCUUCACACCAAAGCCUUCCCCUUCCGACUGUGGACUUCCCUGGUGGCUCAGCCAGUUAAGAAUCCCGCAUUGUCACUGCAGUGGAUUAAGUCACUAAAAAAGAAAAAAAAAAAAAAAGGAAGGAAAGGAAAGGAGGAAGGAAGGAAGGAAGGAAAGAAAAGAAAGAAAGAAAAGAAAGGAAAGAAAGAAAGAAAGAAAGAAAUUUAUUCAGACAGACUCUGCCUGACUUUUAAAAAUGCUUUACAUGGAGUUCCCGUCGUGGCCCAGUGGUUAACGAAUCUGACUAGGAACCAUGAGGUUGCGGGUUCGAUCCCUGCCCUUGCUCAGUGGGUUAAUGAUCCGGCGUUGCCGUGAGCUGUGGUGUAGGUUGCAGACGCGGCUUGGAUCCUGAGUUGCUGUUGCUCUGGCAUAGGCCGGCGGCUACAGCUCCGAUUCGACCCCUAGCCUGGGAACCUCCAUAUGCCACGGGAGCGGCCCAAGAAAUGGCAAAAAGACAAAAAAAAAAAAAAAAAUGCUUUACAAUUUUGUGGCAUUCCCUGUAGCUCAGCAAGUUAAGGGUCCAGUGUUGUUGCUGUUGCAGCUCUGGUUGCUGCUGUGGCGUGGGUUUGAUUUCUGGUCUGGGAAUUUCCACAUACCAUGAGUGCAGCAAAAAUUACAUAUAUAUAUUGCACCUAGAAUCAACAAUAAUACCACACCAUAUACUCUAAAAUUUCUUAAGAGGAUAGAUCUCACUAAGUGUCCUUUCUGUAAUAAAAUACAUUAAAAAAAAAAGAUAUUGGAAAUU